This 253-nucleotide ribosomal RNA is filed under the name uncultured bacterium. RNAcentral's name for it is "partial 16S ribosomal RNA". It matches the Rfam family "Bacterial small subunit ribosomal RNA", at positions 524 to 776 of the family's 1533-position model. The record is from RNAcentral.
UACGGAGGGUGCAAGCGUUAUCCGGAUUCACUGGGUUUAAAGGGUGCGUAGGUGGGUUGGUAAGUCAGUGGUGAAAUCCCCGAGCUUAACUUGGGAACUGCCAUUGAUACUAUCAGUCUUGAAUACCGUGGAGGUCAGCGGAAUAUGUCAUGUAGCGGUGAAAUGCUUAGAUAUGACAUAGAACACCAAUUGCGAAGGCAGCUGGCUACACAUAUAUUGACACUGAGGCACGAAGGCGUGGGGAUCAAACAGG